This 552-nucleotide ribosomal RNA is filed under the name Clostridium saudiense. Its description in RNAcentral is "partial 23S ribosomal RNA". It matches the Rfam family "Bacterial large subunit ribosomal RNA", at positions 30 to 586 of the family's 2925-position model. Lineage: Bacteria; Bacillati; Bacillota; Clostridia; Eubacteriales; Clostridiaceae. The record is from RNAcentral.
GCCUUGGCAUCAGGAGCCGAUGAAGGACGUGAUAAGCUGCGAUAAGCUUCGGGUAGGCGCACAUAGCCAGUGAUCCGGAGAUUUCCGAAUGAGGGAACUCACAUGGGAAACCCCAUGUACCGUAUAGUGAAUACAUAGCUAUACGGAGGUAAACCUAGGGAACUGAAACAUCUAAGUACCUAGAGGAAGAGAAAGAAAAAUCGAUUUUCUGAGUAGCGGCGAGCGAAAGGGAAAGAGCCCAAACCAGAGAUUUAUCUCUGGGGUUGCGGACAGAACAUUAAAGUGGAGGCUAUUGUAAUUGAAGAGUACUGGAAAGUACCACCGUAGAAGGUAAUAGUCCUGUAAGUAAAACGAGAAGACCACGAGUUCUGAUCCAGAGUACCACGAGACACGUGAAACCUUGUGGGAAGCAGGGAGGACCACCUCCCAAGGCUAAAUACUACCUGAUGACCGAUAGUGAAGCAGUACCGUGAGGGAAAGGUGAAAAGAACCCCGGGAGGGGAGUGAAAUAGAACCUGAAACCGUGUGCCUACAACCGGUCAAAGCCCCAUA